GGGUCAGCGACUGGGGUGAAGUCGUAACAAGGUAGCCGUAGGGGAACCUGCGGCUGGAUCACCUCCUUU
Molecule: ribosomal RNA, 69 nt
Filed under: Methylobacterium organophilum
Lineage: Bacteria; Pseudomonadati; Pseudomonadota; Alphaproteobacteria; Hyphomicrobiales; Methylobacteriaceae
Also listed under: 1 other name
Description: partial 16S ribosomal RNA
Rfam family: Bacterial small subunit ribosomal RNA
Source: RNAcentral